CCUACGGGAGGCAGCAGUGAGGAAUAUUGGUCAAUGGACGAGAGUCUGAACCAGCCAAGUAGCGUGAAGGAUGACUGCCCUAUGGGUUGUAAACUUCUUUUAUAUGGGAAUAAAAUGUUCCACGUGUGGGAUUUUGUAUGUAGCAUAUGAAUAAGGAUCGGCUAACUCCGUGCCAGCAGCCGCGGUAAUACGGAGGAUCCGAGCGUUAUCCGGAUUUAUUGGGUUUAAAGGGAGCGUAGGUGGAUUGUUAAGUCAGUUGUGAAAGUUUGCGGCUCAACCGUAAAAUUGCAGUUGAAACUGGCAGUCUUGAGUACAGUAGAGGUGGGCGGAAUUCGUGGUGUAGCGGUGAAAUGCUUAGAUAUCACGAAGAACUCCGAUUGCGAAGGCAGUUCACUGGACUGCAACUGACACUGAGGCUCGAAAGUGUGGGUAUCAAACAGGAUUAGAUACCCGUGUAGUC
Molecule: ribosomal RNA, 460 nt
Filed under: uncultured bacterium
Lineage: Bacteria
Description: partial 16S ribosomal RNA
Rfam family: Bacterial small subunit ribosomal RNA
Source: RNAcentral